Molecule: unclassified non-coding RNA, 200 nt
Filed under: uncultured Pseudeurotium
Lineage: Eukaryota; Fungi; Ascomycota; Leotiomycetes; Thelebolales; Pseudeurotiaceae
Description: sequence contains ITS2
Source: RNAcentral
UUAAGUUCAGCGGGUAUCCCUACCUGAUCCGAGGUCAACCUGAAAAAUUGGGGGUUAUUGGCAAGCACACACCCGGAUCUCCAAAGCGAGAAGAAUUACUACGCUUGAAGCCGAAUGGCACCGCCACUGAUUUAAGGCCUGCCGGAAGCCGGCAGGGCCCAAUACCAAGCAGAGCUCGAGGGUUGUAAUGACGCUCGAAC